UGAAACAAAACGUGCGAACAGGUGAAAAUAAUGAGGAUGACGUGGGCUGGUGUAAUCAGAUUUCAUUCCGCGUCAGAAGUACCUAGAAAACCAUAACAGUAGUGAAGAGAAAGCAGUCGAUGAAAAACCGGAAUGAGAACAACAAAGAAUCGUGUUACUUAAAAUACCUCCUGUUUAUAGUGUGCCUACUUCAUGGACGUGCUAAGCCAGAAAAUUCUGUAAAGUUCUUGACACAAAACGGGCGUCUUCAGCAUCCCGCCAGUUGACCCAUACAACCAAAUUUGGCCUUUCUCCGAAAACAAAGUCAGUGGGGCAAAAGAGCAGAGUCCCAAACAGGAUUCGGACGCGUUAUCCAUUGAGGAGGAGCACAGUGUAAUUUCGUACCGCGAGCAAGGGAGAGCCUCUGAACAAGAAAAGUGCAGUUGAUGUUAUGAAAUAAUGGUUUCAGCCAUAAACCUGAACCAUAUUUUUCUGCAAUAUACUGUACGUAGAUGAUCCGUACUAUUCGUAGUUCGAGACUAGUGCAAACAUUUUGCGAGACAAAUGUCACUAGUUAAUCAAAGCUAGUUUCACCAUAUAAUAUCCAACCUGUUUCAUGUUUUAUUGGGGAUUUACAUAUAUCGUUUUAGAAGAAGCGAUGUAGUCCAUUGCAUAAAAUGUAUCAUCGGUGUGGUCAACGGGUUUCGGUAGACAACCUUAAUUCCGAAAAAAGAUACUGAUCUCUAAAUAUCUUCCUCGAUCUCACUUUACAGGAAAUUCUAAAUGGUGGCUAGACGA
Long non-coding RNA from Daphnia carinata, 777 nucleotides. RefSeq lists it as uncharacterized. NCBI's taxonomy places the organism in Eukaryota, Metazoa, Arthropoda, Branchiopoda, Diplostraca, Daphniidae. The record is from RefSeq and is a predicted model, not a curated record. The transcript has 3 exons.